UACGUAGGAGGCAAGCGUUGUCCGGAAUUACUGGGCGUAAAGCGCGUGUAGGUGGUGGGACAAGUCUGCUGUGAAAGCGCCUGGCUUAACCGGGCGAGGUCGGCGGAAACUGUUCGACUCGAGGACGGUAGAGGGGGGUGGAAUUCCCGGUGUAGUGGUGAAAUGCGUAGAUAUCGAGAGGAACACCAGUGGCGAAGGCGACUACCUGGCCUGUUCUUGACGCUGAGGCGCGAAAGCUAGGGGAGCAAACGGG
RNAcentral lists this ribosomal RNA (253 nucleotides) under uncultured bacterium. RNAcentral's name for it is "partial 16S ribosomal RNA". It matches the Rfam family "Bacterial small subunit ribosomal RNA", at positions 524 to 776 of the family's 1533-position model. The record is from RNAcentral.